CAUCCUAUCUCUUCCUCACAACAAUUUUGAGAGACUGUGGAUGUGGGGGCCACACAGAGGAUCAAGCCUCUUCUAAUUCACCUCCCAGAUUUUAGAGAUAAAAAGAGAAAUCUCUUCAAUCUGUCACAUGCGUGAGUAUUUAUAUGAUCUUGACUAUGGCUUUUCGUAAUCGUCAGUCCCUGAUACAAUGGAUGCAAACACCAGGGACAAUACCCAAUUGUCCACCUGGAUUGGAAUAUCUGACUCAGAUAAAUCAGUUACUAGUGUGUCAACGUUUCGAUCUUCUGGAAGGUAUUUCAGAGAAGCAGUGAUUGCAGAUCCUUCAGGAAUUCUGCUAGGAGAAGCAGAAUCCAGUUCUCGGUUGUUUUGCAACUAGUAAAAAAUAUGAAGUCAUGAACAAUCAAGGACACAGAAUUUAUUAUGCAGAAGAAAGAAGUAAUUGUUUCCUCCGAUAUCUCUGUGGACCUUCAAGACGUUUUACCAUGACAAUUUAUGAUAAUGUAGGCCGUGAUGUCAUUACUAUGCAUAGAACUCUAAGAAGUAGCUGUUGCUGGAGAAACUGCUAUGUACAAAA
This is a long non-coding RNA of Panthera uncia (snow leopard), 574 nucleotides long. RefSeq lists it as uncharacterized. The record is from RefSeq and is a predicted model, not a curated record. Lineage: Eukaryota; Metazoa; Chordata; Mammalia; Carnivora; Felidae. The transcript has 5 exons.